ACAUCCAUGGAGCAGUAGUCUAGCUCGUUCCCUUGCUGCUAUCUGGUGUGGUGGUAGGCAUAAGGGAAAGGCCCGGGUGCGAAUCCCGGUGGAUGUG
Molecule: non-coding RNA, 97 nt
Organism: Hypoxylon fuscum
Lineage: Eukaryota; Fungi; Ascomycota; Sordariomycetes; Xylariales; Hypoxylaceae
Source: the annotation of a GenBank genome assembly